CGAGUGGUGGAAUACUUUGACUCAUGGGAGAGAAGCUGAGGCGAAGGCGUCUACCUAGAGGGUUUCUGUCGAUCAAGGGCGAGAGUAGGAGUAUCCAACAGGAUUAGAGACCCUGGUAGUUCCUACCUUAAACGAUGCCGACAGGAGUUUGUCAUUUGUUAAUGGCAGAAUCUUUGGAGAAAUCAUAGUUCUUGGGCUCUGGGGGAACUACGACCGCAAGGCUGAAACUUGAAGGAAUUGACGGAAGGGCACACCAGGGGUGGAGCCUGUGGCUUAAUUUGAAUCAACACGGGGAAACUUACCAGGACCAGAUGUUUUUUAUGACUGACAGGCUUCGGGUCUUUCAGGAUAUUGUUUUUGGUGGUGCAUGGCCGUUGGUGGUGCGUGGGUUGACCUGUCUAGCGUUGAUUCAGCUAACGAGCGAGAUUAUCGCCAAUUAUUUACUUUGCCGAAGUCCUUCGGUUAAAGUUCUAAUUGGGACUCCCUGCGAUUUUAGCAGGUGGAAGAGGGUAGCAAUAACAGGUCCGUGAUGCCCUUUAGAUGCUCUGGGCUGCACGCGUGCUACAAUGUUAGGAUCAAUAGGACUGCGAGCCUGAGAGGGUGCGCUACUCUUAUAAUCCCUAACGUAGUUGGGAUUGACGUUUGUAAUCAGCGUCAUGAACCAGGAAUCCCUUGUAAAUGUGUGUCAACAACGCACGUUGAAUACGUCCCUGCCCUUUGUACACACCGCCCGUCGCUCCUACCGAUUGGAUGACUCGGUGAAAUCACCGGAUGCUUACGAGCAGAAAGUGAUUAAAUCACGUUAUCUAGAGGAAGGAGAAGUCGUAACAAGGUAACGGUAGGUGAACCUGCCGUUGGAUCAGUU
This is a non-coding RNA of Trichomonas vaginalis G3, 865 nucleotides long. The record is from Rfam. NCBI's taxonomy places the organism in Eukaryota, Parabasalia, Trichomonadida, Trichomonadidae.